This 253-nucleotide ribosomal RNA is filed under the name uncultured bacterium. RNAcentral's name for it is "partial 16S ribosomal RNA". It matches the Rfam family "Bacterial small subunit ribosomal RNA", at positions 524 to 776 of the family's 1533-position model. The record is from RNAcentral.
UACGAAGGGGGCUAGCGUUGCUCGGAAUCACUGGGCGUAAAGCGCACGUAGGCGGCUUCUUAAGUCAGGUGUGAAAUCCUGGAGCUCAACUCCAGAACUGCCUUUGAUACUGAGAAGCUUGAGUCCGGGAGAGGUGAGUGGAACUGCGAGUGUAGAGGUGAAAUUCGUAGAUAUUCGCAAGAACACCAGUGGCGAAGGCGGCUCACUGGCCCGGUACUGACGCUGAGGUGCGAAAGCGUGGGGAGCAAACAGG